AUGAACGCUGACAGAAUGCUUAACACAUGCAAGUCAACUUGAACUUCGGUUUGGGUGGCGGACGGGUGAGUAACGCGUAAAGAACUUGCCUCACAGCUAGGGACAACAUUUGGAAACGAAUGCUAAUACCUGAUAUUAUGAUUUUAGGGCAUCCUAGAAUUAUGAAAGCUAUAUGCGCUGUGAGAGAGCUUUGCGUCCCAUUAGCUAGUUGGAGAGGUAACGGCUCACCAAGGCGAUGAUGGGUAGCCGGCCUGAGAGGGUGAACGGCCACAAGGGGACGGAGACACGGCCCUUACUCCUACGGGAGGCAGCAGUGGGGAAUAUUGGACAAUGGACCAAGAGUCUGAUCCAGCAAUUCUGUGUGCACGAUGAAGUUUUUCGGAAUGCAAAGUGCUUUCAGUUGGGAAGAAAAAAAUGACGGUACCAACAGAAGAAGUGACGGCUAAAUACGUG
This 453-nucleotide ribosomal RNA is filed under the name uncultured bacterium. Its description in RNAcentral is "partial 16S ribosomal RNA". It matches the Rfam family "Bacterial small subunit ribosomal RNA", at positions 29 to 507 of the family's 1533-position model. The record is from RNAcentral.